This 619-nucleotide ribosomal RNA is filed under the name uncultured Acinetobacter sp. RNAcentral describes it as "bacterial SSU rRNA". It matches the Rfam family "Bacterial small subunit ribosomal RNA", at positions 57 to 669 of the family's 1533-position model. Lineage: Bacteria; Pseudomonadati; Pseudomonadota; Gammaproteobacteria; Moraxellales; Moraxellaceae. The record is from RNAcentral.
GCAAGUCGAGCGGAGANGAGGNGCUUGCACCUUAUCUUAGCGGCGGACGGGUGAGUAAUGCUUAGGAAUCUGCCUAUUAGUGGGGGACAACAUUCCGAAAGGAAUGCUAAUACCGCAUACGUCCUACGGGAGAAAGCAGGGGAUCUUCGGACCUUGCGCUAAUAGAUGAGCCUAAGUCGGAUUAGCUAGUUGGUGGGGUAAAGGCCUAGCAAGGCGACGAUCUGUAGCGGGUCUGAGAGGAUGAUCCGCCACACUGGGACUGAGACACGGCCCAGACUCCUACGGGAGGCAGCAGUGGGGAAUAUUGGACAAUGGGGGGAACCCUGAUCCAGCCAUGCCGCGUGUGUGAAGAAGGCCUUAUGGUUGUAAAGCACUUUAAGCGAGGAGGAGGCUACUGAGACUAAUACUCUUGGAUAGUGGACGUUACUCGCAGAAUAAGCACCGGCUAACUCUGUGCCAGCAGCCGCGGUAAUACAGAGGGUGCGAGCGUUAAUCGGAUUUACUGGGCGUAAAGCGUGCGUAGGCGGCUUUUUAAGUCGGAUGUGAAAUNCUCNGAGCUUAACUUGGGAAUUGCAUUCGAUACUGGGAAGCUAGAGUAUGGGAGAGGAUGGUAGAAUUC